CCCCAGCAGUAAAGGCUACUGCAACCCUCAGCUGGAGUCCCUCUCUUAUUCUGCUGGAUUGCUGUUGCAAGCCCUGUCCGUUACAGGGAGCUGUGUCCACUAUAAUGUGGAGCAGUUCUCCCUAGGUGCCCUCCAGGGUAACCAAGCCCAGGAGAGUGCCCCUCAGCUGCAAGCAGUGCUGAAGGCUUGCCGGGUGACGGGAAGGUACGAGCCUUCCCCAGGGACUUCUCGCUGCUUCAGUUUGGCGCCCAACAUGAGGCCCUGGGCGUGCUCCUGGACCCUGCAGACGGAACUCCUGGAGCCUCUGGACUGCACCUUUGGAUUUCCACUCAAAGUUCCCUUGGCCGUCAAAACACCUCUUGGUGAGCAGACCCCUUUUUGGUGGAUGGCGCUCCCAGAGGACCGGGAACGGUAGCUCCAGGCACCCGUGGAGUCGUUCCCCCCAGCAGGACCGCCAGCUCCAGUUUUCUUUUCACCCCUCGUCAGAUUUUGGUUGCGGCUGAUGGAGCCUCUUCACAUUCAGGACUCCAACUUCCACCUAGUCUCUGUGAGUCCAGAGUGCCUGGGUACUUGGAACGAAGUUGGCUGGAUGCCGUCCCCGACGAUGCUCCCUCAAAAUUGGAAUCUGGCCGUUGUUGAUAUAAAAGACUGUUUCUUCCAAAUUUCUCUGCACCCUGAUGAUGCCCCGCGUUUUGCCUUCACGGUUCCCACCAUCAACUGUGAAGCCCCAAGGAAGCGCUACCAUUGGCGUGUUCUACCCCAGGAAAUGAAGAACAGUCCCAUCAUCUG
Long non-coding RNA from Haemorhous mexicanus (house finch), 789 nucleotides. RefSeq lists it as uncharacterized. The record is from RefSeq and is a predicted model, not a curated record. The transcript is spliced from 3 exons. Lineage: Eukaryota; Metazoa; Chordata; Aves; Passeriformes; Fringillidae.